RNAcentral lists this ribosomal RNA (468 nucleotides) under uncultured bacterium. RNAcentral describes it as "partial 16S ribosomal RNA". It matches the Rfam family "Bacterial small subunit ribosomal RNA", at positions 28 to 507 of the family's 1533-position model. The record is from RNAcentral.
GACGAACGCUGGCGGCGUGCUUAACACAUGCAAGUCGAACGGAAAGGCCCUGCUUUUGUGGGGUGCUCGAGUGGCGAACGGGUGAGUAACACGUGAGUAACCUGCCCUUGACUUUGGGAUAACUUCAGGAAACUGGGGCUAAUACCGGAUAGGAGCUCCUGCUGCAUGGUGGGGGUUGGAAAGUUUCGGCGGUUGGGGAUGGACUCGCGGCUUAUCAGCUUGUUGGUGGGGUAGUGGCUUACCAAGGCUUUGACGGGUAGCCGGCCUGAGAGGGUGACCGGCCACAUUGGGACUGAGAUACGGCCCAGACUCCUACGGGAGGCAGCAGUGGGGAAUAUUGCACAAUGGGCGGAAGCCUGAUGCAGCAACGCCGCGUGCGGGAUGACGGCCUUCGGGUUGUAAACCGCUUUCGCCUGUGACGAAGCGUGAGUGACGGUAAUGGGUAAAGAACCACCGGCUAACUACGUG